CACGUAGGGCGCAAGCGUUGUCCGGAAUUAUUGGGCGUAAAGAGCUCGUAGGCGGACUGUCACGUCUGCUGUGAAAAGCUGGGGCUUAACCCUGGCCUUGCAGCGGAUACGGGCAGACUAGAGGUAGGUAGGGGAGAAUGGAAUUCCCGGUGUAGCGGUGAAAUGCGCAGAUAUCGGGAGGAACACCGGUGGCGAAGGCGGUUCUCUGGGCCUUACCUGACGCUGAGGAGCGAAAGCGUGGGGAGCGAACAGG
RNAcentral lists this ribosomal RNA (253 nucleotides) under uncultured bacterium. Its description in RNAcentral is "partial 16S ribosomal RNA". It matches the Rfam family "Bacterial small subunit ribosomal RNA", at positions 524 to 776 of the family's 1533-position model. The record is from RNAcentral.